AGGAAUUAUAACUGCCAUGGCCUCUAUGGCACCUUUGUCACAGGAGCAUGUGCCUGAAGAUGGCUUAUGUAGCCAUAGGAAAAGCAUGAUGCCGAAAGACUUUGCUGACAUGGACAUAUUCACUGGAGAGGCCAUCGAUGUUGUCAUCGGAUCCUCAAGAGAUGACGGAAAGGU
This is a long non-coding RNA of Dermacentor silvarum, 174 nucleotides long. RefSeq lists it as uncharacterized. NCBI's taxonomy places the organism in Eukaryota, Metazoa, Arthropoda, Arachnida, Ixodida, Ixodidae. The record is from RefSeq and is a predicted model, not a curated record. The transcript is spliced from 3 exons.